This 320-nucleotide ribosomal RNA is filed under the name uncultured bacterium. Its description in RNAcentral is "bacterial SSU rRNA". It matches the Rfam family "Bacterial small subunit ribosomal RNA", at positions 470 to 789 of the family's 1533-position model. The record is from RNAcentral.
UGACGGUAUCUAACCAGCAAGUCACGGCUAACUACGUGCCAGCAGCCGCGGUAAUACGUAGGUGGCAAGCGUUAUCCGGAUUUAUUGGGCGUAAAGGGAACGCAGACGGUUUUUUAAGUCUGAUGUGAAAGCCUUCGGCUUAACCGGAGAAUAGCAUUGGAAACUGGAAGACUUGAGUGCAGAAGAGGAGAGUGGAACUCCAUGUGUAGCGGUGAAAUGCGUAGAUAUAUGGAAGAACACCAGUGGCGAAAGCGGCUCUCUGGUCUGUAACUGACGCUGAGGUUCGAAAGCGUGGGUAGCAAACAGGAUUAGAUACCCUG